Molecule: ribosomal RNA, 615 nt
Filed under: uncultured Acidovorax sp.
Lineage: Bacteria; Pseudomonadati; Pseudomonadota; Betaproteobacteria; Burkholderiales; Comamonadaceae
Description: bacterial SSU rRNA
Rfam family: Bacterial small subunit ribosomal RNA
Source: RNAcentral
AACGAAGCGAAAGCUUUGCUAAUACCGCAUACGAUCUACGGAUGAAAGCAGGGGACCGCAAGGCCUUGCGCGAACGGAGCGGCCGAUGGCAGAUUAGGUAGUUGGUGGGAUAAAAGCUUACCAAGCCGACGAUCUGUAGCUGGUCUGAGAGGACGACCAGCCACACUGGGACUGAGACACGGCCCAGACUCCUACGGGAGGCAGCAGUGGGGAAUUUUGGACAAUGGGCGAAAGCCUGAUCCAGCCAUGCCGCGUGCAGGAUGAAGGCCUUCGGGUUGUAAACUGCUUUUGUACGGAACGAAAAGACUCUGGUUAAUACCUGGGGUCCAUGACGGUACCGUAAGAAUAAGCACCGGCUAACUACGUGCCAGCAGCCGCGGUAAUACGUAGGGUGCAAGCGUUAAUCGGAAUUACUGGGCGUAAAGCGUGCGCAGGCGGUUAUAUAAGACAGAUGUGAAAUCCCCGGGCUCAACCUGGGAACUGCAUUUGUGACUGUAUAGCUAGAGUACGGCAGAGGGGGAUGGAAUUCCGCGUGUAGCAGUGAAAUGCGUAGAUAUGCGGAGGACACCGAUGGCGAAGGCAAUCCCCUGGGCCUGUACUGACGCUCAUGCACGA